This 468-nucleotide ribosomal RNA is filed under the name uncultured bacterium. RNAcentral describes it as "partial 16S ribosomal RNA". It matches the Rfam family "Bacterial small subunit ribosomal RNA", at positions 28 to 507 of the family's 1533-position model. The record is from RNAcentral.
GACGAACGCUGGCGGCGUGCUUAACACAUGCAAGUCGAACGGAAAGGCCCUGCUUUUGUGGGGUGCUCGAGUGGCGAACGGGUGAGUAACACGUGAGUAACCUGCCCUUGACUUUGGGAUAACUUCAGGAAACUGGGGCUAAUACCGGAUAGGAGCUCCUGCUGCAUGGUGGGGGUUGGAAAGUUUCGGCGGUUGAGGAUGGACUCGCGGCUUAUCAGCUUGUUGGUGGGGUAGUGGCUUACCAAGGCUUUGACGGGUAGCCGGCCUGAGAGGGUGACCGGCCACAUUGGGACUGAGAUACGGCCCAGACUCCUACGGGAGGCAGCAGUGGGGAAUAUUGCACAAUGGGCGGAAGCCUGAUGCAGCAACGCCGCGUGCGGGAUGACGGCCUUCGGGCUGUAAACCGCUUUCGCCUGUGACGAAGCGUGAGUGACGGUAAUGGGUAAAGAAGCACCGGCUAACUACGUG